Molecule: ribosomal RNA, 253 nt
Filed under: uncultured bacterium
Lineage: Bacteria
Description: partial 16S ribosomal RNA
Rfam family: Bacterial small subunit ribosomal RNA
Source: RNAcentral
UACGAAGGGUGCAAACGUUGCUCGGAAUCAUUGGGCGUAAAGCGCACGUAGGCGGCUCCAAAAGUCGGAUGUGAAAUCCCUGGGCUCAACCGAGGAAGUGCAUCCGAAACUGCGGAGCUUGAGUAUGGAAGAGGGUCGCGGAAUUCCCGGUGUAGAGGUGAAAUUCGUAGAUAUCCGGAGGAACACCAGUGGCGAAGGCGACACGCUGGGCCGUACCUGACACUGAUGCGCGACAGCAUGGGGAGCAAACAGG